This is a long non-coding RNA of Maniola jurtina (meadow brown), 648 nucleotides long. RefSeq lists it as uncharacterized. The record is from RefSeq and is a predicted model, not a curated record. Lineage: Eukaryota; Metazoa; Arthropoda; Insecta; Lepidoptera; Nymphalidae. The transcript is spliced from 2 exons.
AGAAAGAAUGGCAAUAAUAUCGGAAGAUGCAUCAUUGGAAGCAAAAAAAAACUUCACGGCAUUUCAAGUUCGCGGGGAAUCACUGAGCUUUGGAAAAUCUAAAGAAAGCUUUCACAUUACACUACUUCGCGCGAGUUACCGCAAUCCAACGAACACCUGAGUUUUAACAUUGUGAACUUUAUUCCUUUAAAACAAGAGUGAUAUUUCUCUACGUUUCAUUUAAUGAAUCCGAUUUUUAUAUUUGUCUAAGAAAUAUCAGGUAUAAAAGGAUGCACUGGGAGUUCUAAACUUCAUUCUGAAUCCGAACAGUGGUGAUUAUUUUUCAUUCAAUAGAAAAAUAUAGAAUUUCAGUAAAAAUAUGAAGUUUAGCAAGGUUUUGUUCAUCUUUUUCGCUAUCAUUUUGGCGUUCGCUGCCGCUAACCCUGCGCCUAAAUUCAGGCCUUUUAAGAAACUGGAAAAACUCGGGCAGCGUGUAAGAGAUGGCCUCAUCAAAGCCGGUCCAGCAAUCAAAGUUAUUGGAGACGCUCAAUCUAUCGUCAAGGGAGCCAAAGGAUAAUUUACCUUAAACUCAUAUCAACAGAGCCGCUAAUUAUGAUAACCACCGAAAUGCAUUCGUACUUUUAAUAAAUUAACUUAUUUUAAAUCAAA